UGGGGAAUUUUGGACAAUGGGCGCAAGCCUGAUCCAGCAAUGCCGCGUGCAGGAAGAAGGCCUUCGGGUUGUAAACUGCUUUUGUACGGAACGAAACGGUCUGGGCUAAUACCCUGGGCUAAUGACGGUACCGUAAGAAUAGGCACCGGCUAACUACGUGC
RNAcentral lists this ribosomal RNA (161 nucleotides) under uncultured bacterium. RNAcentral's name for it is "partial 16S ribosomal RNA". It matches the Rfam family "Bacterial small subunit ribosomal RNA", at positions 355 to 508 of the family's 1533-position model. The record is from RNAcentral.